RNAcentral lists this ribosomal RNA (445 nucleotides) under uncultured bacterium. Its description in RNAcentral is "partial 16S ribosomal RNA". It matches the Rfam family "Bacterial small subunit ribosomal RNA", at positions 354 to 796 of the family's 1533-position model. The record is from RNAcentral.
GUAGGGAAUAUUGGGCAAUGGAGGCAACUCUGACGCAGCCAUGCCGCGUGCAGGAAGAAGGCGCUACGCGUUGUAAACUGCUUUUAACCGGGAAGAAACCCCAGGACGUGUCCUGGGUUGACGGUACCGGAGGAAUAAGCACCGGCUAACUUCGUGCCAGCAGCCGCGGUAAUACGAAGGGUGCAAGCGUUAUCCGGAUUCAUUGGGUUUAAAGGGUGCGUAGGCGGAGCGUUAAGUCAGUGGUGAAAUCCUGCAGCUUAACUGUAGACUUGCCAUUGAUACUGGCGCUCUUGAGUGCGCUUGAAGUGGGCGGAAUGUGCCGUGUAGCGGUGAAAUGCUUAGAUAUGGCACAGAACACCAAUUGCGAAGGCAGCUCACUAAGGCGAUACUGACGCUGAGGCACGAAAGCGUGGGGAUCGAACAGGAUUAGAUACCCUGGUAGUCC